Molecule: ribosomal RNA, 444 nt
Filed under: Triticum aestivum (bread wheat)
Lineage: Eukaryota; Viridiplantae; Streptophyta; Magnoliopsida; Poales; Poaceae
Description: partial small subunit ribosomal RNA
Source: RNAcentral
AUGGACACGGUAAGCUUUGGAAAACUGUCAUAUAUAGACAGCCAGUACAACAAUAACUCUCCAAACAGUUUCACCAGUUCUUCUACUGAUGCAUCAGUUUUCUUGAAAGGAAUCACUUCUGUUACUAGAGUAAUCAAAUUUGGUUAUAGAUGGAUCACUGGGGAUGGUGCCAAAGUAAGAUUCUAGGAGGAUACUUGGUUUGGCACAUCCCCACUAGUUGUUCAAUUCUGGGACUUGUAUCUAAUUUGUAAUGAGAAAAAUGUCUCAGUUUGUGUGGCUUGGGAUGGCUCGCUGAAACUAUCCUUUAGGAGAACUUUUAUUGUUGCUAUGAUGGAGAAAUGGUAUGAACUGCUAGAAAUAGCUGCUAGUAUCAACCUAUUGACGGUCGAAUCUGGCAGAUCUCGGGUAGGGGGGCCCGAGCUAGUGAUCUUGGCACGAUGGUAA